CGACGACGUGUUGAGAGACAAAUGACACAAGGCGAUGAAAGGCGGAGAAGA
This 51-nucleotide small RNA is filed under the name Caenorhabditis elegans. RNAcentral's name for it is "Unclassified non-coding RNA F55C5.15". Lineage: Eukaryota; Metazoa; Nematoda; Chromadorea; Rhabditida; Rhabditidae. The record is from RNAcentral.